UAUACCCUACGGGGGGCAGCAGUGAGGAAUAUUGGUCAAUGGUCGGGAGACUGAACCAGCCAAGCCGCGUGAGGGAGGAAGGUACAGAGUAUCGUAAACCUCUUUUGUCAGGGAACAAAGACUGGGACGCGUCCCCGGAUGAGUGUACCUGAAGAAAAAGCAUCGGCUAACUCCGUGCCAGCAGCCGCGGUAAUACGGAGGAUGCGAGCGUUAUCCGGAUUUAUUGGGUUUAAAGGGUGCGCAGGCGGUCUGUUAAGUCAGCGGUCAAAGCCCGGGGCUCAACCCCGGCCCGCCGUUGACACUGG
RNAcentral lists this ribosomal RNA (305 nucleotides) under uncultured bacterium. Its description in RNAcentral is "bacterial SSU rRNA". It matches the Rfam family "Bacterial small subunit ribosomal RNA", at positions 333 to 636 of the family's 1533-position model. The record is from RNAcentral.